Macadamia integrifolia is the source of this 2835-nucleotide long non-coding RNA. RefSeq lists it as uncharacterized. The record is from RefSeq and is a predicted model, not a curated record. The transcript is spliced from 2 exons. Lineage: Eukaryota; Viridiplantae; Streptophyta; Magnoliopsida; Proteales; Proteaceae.
GUCACUUCGAAAAGGCAACAACCGACUUCGAAAGAGAUACCUUAUUGGAUUUGGAUUUUGGAUUUGGAUUUGGAUUUGGAUGCGAAGAUCACUCCCACUUGAACUAGACUUUGGAACCGUGAAGUAAAAUAGGAUGGUUCAGAAUUGGGGGUCGAAUGCGAGAAAGAAAAGAUCAAAGAUGGUGUAUCUGUCGAUCUUCGUCGCUGCUCUGAUGCUUUUCGUGGAUAUGGCGCCGCUGCCUUCUUGUGGUGGUAUACCGCAGCCACUCACUCCGAUGACUACUCUGGAAAAUUCGGAGGAGUUGGAAGGUAACGAUGGUCGGAGAUUGCCCUUUUCUGGGAUCUGAAGCGGGCGACAUGAAUAACUAUUUCGGGUACUCCUACGUUGCCAAGUUCUUCAAGUAUGUGAGUGCAACAAUUACUGGAGGGCCUAAGGGGCUGUUUCAUCUUGGGGAUUGAUUCACAAGAACCCUCUUGCACCAUAUGGGGUGAAUACAAUCUUAAAGAUUGGGACCGGUGGCAUGACUCAGCCCAACCAUCACUAUUCAUUUGGAGCAAGUUGCAGUGACAAAGUUGGUGUUCAAGUUCAAGUGUUUUACUGGAGGAGUACUACCAUCAUCAGUGAGUUCUUUAUUGUUUAAGUUCAUGUGUCCGUUGUACUAAUCUUUCAAAUUGCAUUUUUACUGUCUACAUUACUACAGGAGCUGACUGUUCCUGCAAUGUGCAAGGUAUUAUCCUGGUUUUGUUGUCACCACUUUUGGCAUGAACAGGGCAGUGGCUAUUAGUUAGUGCACCUUGCUAGAGAUUCUUAUGCAAACAGUGGCCUAUGUCUUUGUUAUGUUUCUGUUAUAUCUACAGUACUAAUUACAAAUGGUUCAGAUUUGUUCACUUGGAGAAGAUUACUGCACAUCUCCAAAUUCACUGUAUAUCUUAUUUAAUUCUGCAAAAUCUCACUCUUAUUUGACUUCCUCUUUUUGUAGGUAGUAGUAGUUUUUGUUGUUGUUUUGUAUUGUGACCCAUGAGGGGAUGAAAUAUCAUCCUUGCAUGUAUUGAUUAAUUGAUGACAAAUGUAUAGUUAGAACUGGAUAUACUCUUCUGCCAAUUGAGCUAGUUAAAAAGGGGGAUUUAAAUCUGUUGCAAGUUCCAUCUCUUAUAUGCAUAGUUGUCACCUAGGCAUCUCUGUUGGUGUUGCCUUGCAUCCAGGCCACCUCCAACACCUUGGGUUGCCUAGGUGCUGUGACAACUAUGCUUGUAUGCCAUUUGUUGCUUUGAGACUUUACAGAUUAUGAGGAGGUAUAAAUGAAGUAAUUGUCAUACUAUGUUCAACAACCAUUGCAAUUUACUCAUACAACCCCCCCCCUCUCAAAAGAAAAAGCAGUAUUGUACACAUUAAGUUUGGAAAACGUGAACACUUCUAGAUGUUUCUUCUCUGUUCGGAGUAUUCCUAGGUGAAAAAAAAAUCAUUUGGUAACUGAUUUUUGGGAGUAAUGUUUUUCUUCACUAAUACAAGGCACAUCCAAUACUGCAUGUGGCCAUAGAAGAAAGUAAAUAACUAAUUAGGUGAUAAAAUGCAUGAAAUGAAUCUUGUAGUAACUAAUUAAGUGACUGAAUUGAAAACUCACAAACAUUGUUCCAUGUAUUAGUUCAAAUCAUACAUUUAUUGUAGUCAUGUGUCUUGGUUUGGGUGUGUGGUAGUAAGAGAGAGAGAAAAAUAUGUACAAAAUUGAGUACUUCAGAAUGAGCUGAAAUUCCCUACCAUCCUUUUUCUUGACUAAAAUCCUAGUUUGGAUUUGGUCAUCUCGGCUGGGUUUCCUGAUUAGCUCAUGCCUAUCCAACUAUGUACAUGCAACUGCAUUAGAUUGCUCUCUUCCCAGCCAAUAUAUCUAUGAAUUCAGAUUCCCAGGAUCCACAUUGAAAGCCAUCUCCUGCACUAGAUUGUAUCAGGAAUUUUAUCAAUCCAUAGUGGCAACUAUCUUAACAAGCAACAUGAUGUGACUCACCAAACACCUUUCCAUGUACAAUGUUCAGAAAUUGCAUGUACACAUCGAACUGUUUUUAUGAAGGGUGGUAAAUAAUAUGUUGCGCUACAAGUGAAAUUCUUACAACAAUGUUCCCAGACAUCUACACCCCCUUAUGUAAUCUUCAUCGAAUACAACUUGAGAUAUUCUUGUGAUUUUACUUGGUGAAUUUGGCCAGCAGGUCCGUUGGGAAUUAGAACCGAACAUAUUCAAGAACCCUCUACAUUAUAAACAAUUUCAAAUCCAGAGUUUGGGAGAAUCUAAACCAGAUUCAUGGAGGGAUAUGCUAGGUGGAUCACAACGAUUACCGAGUAACUAUUGUGAUGGAUGGAACUUAUCACCCAAACCCUGUUCAAUCAGGAUGGGCUACAAUUAUAUCUAGCAGUGCUAAUAAUUUCUUGGCUGUCUAAGAUAAUGGUUCUAUAGGUGAUCCAGCAGAAACUUUACAAAUGGGAGUACUGGCUGAAUUGACGCGGGGAGCAAGAAGAACCGGAGUCCAUACAGAUUGUCUUCCAAUUCUGAACUGCUUCACCUAAGACCACAAAAAAACUUUGGCCUUGCAAGAUGUUUCCCUUGCCUUCGUUCAAACAAUUCAAGGAUGUAACUUAUAUCAAAAUUCUUGGACACGAGGUUUUUUCCGCACUUCUACUUAGUAGGAAUGCCUAUCUGCUUAACACAUGCGGUGAAGCUAGAAACCUGCAUCUCAUCUUUCUUUUAGAUGUAGCUGUUAAACUGCGGUAAACAAAACAUAUCUUUUUUCAUUCCAACUGUUUGUAUGAUGGUCUGAAUCUUAAAUAUCAGUUUCUUUGUUUGUAAAA